Molecule: unclassified non-coding RNA, 213 nt
Filed under: Hevea brasiliensis (rubber tree)
Lineage: Eukaryota; Viridiplantae; Streptophyta; Magnoliopsida; Malpighiales; Euphorbiaceae
Source: RNAcentral
UUCUUUUCAGAUGCUGUUGCUUUUUGGAUGGUAGUCCGAAAAAAAAUUUCCCCAUUUUUCUGGUAGACGCCCCGAGAAGAUGAAAGAUUGUUCAGCUCUACUAGGGCAACUUCAUGGCGUCUUUAUGAGAUCGAAUUUGGGGUCUGACGCAGGGGAGGAGGAAGCAGACAUCGCCAUAGAAUACACUAUGUCACUCUCUACUCGAGUCUCUGC